This 253-nucleotide ribosomal RNA is filed under the name uncultured bacterium. RNAcentral describes it as "partial 16S ribosomal RNA". It matches the Rfam family "Bacterial small subunit ribosomal RNA", at positions 524 to 776 of the family's 1533-position model. The record is from RNAcentral.
CACGUAGGGCGCAAGCGUUGUCCGGAAUUAUUGGGCGUAAAGAGCUCGUAGGCGGUCUGUUGCGUCCGCUGUGAAAACUCGGGGCUUAACCCCGAGCCUGCAGUGGAUACGGGCAGACUAGAGGUAGGUAGGGGAGAAUGGAAUUCCCGGUGUAGCGGUGAAAUGCGCAGAUAUCGGGAGGAACACCGGUGGCGAAGGCGGGUCUCUGGGCAACAACUGACGCUGAAGAGCGAAAGCGUGGGGAGCGAACAGG